UACAGAGGUCCCGAGCGUUGUUCGGAUUCAUUGGGCGUAAAGGGUGCGUAGGCGGUCUUCUAAGUUUGAUGUGAAAUUCCGGGGCUCAACCCUGGCAUGGCAUUGAAUACUGGAGGACUAGAGUACCGGAGAGGAAACUGGAAUUUACGGUGUAGCAGUGAAAUGCGCAGAUAUCAGGAGGAACACCGAUGGCGAAGGCAGGUCUCUGGGCAUUAACUGACGCUGAGGAGCGAAAGCAUGGGGAGCGAACAGG
This 253-nucleotide ribosomal RNA is filed under the name uncultured bacterium. Its description in RNAcentral is "partial 16S ribosomal RNA". It matches the Rfam family "Bacterial small subunit ribosomal RNA", at positions 524 to 776 of the family's 1533-position model. The record is from RNAcentral.